UAGUCAGUGAGACUGAGAUGGUGUUG
Molecule: non-coding RNA, 26 nt
Filed under: Homo sapiens (human)
Lineage: Eukaryota; Metazoa; Chordata; Mammalia; Primates; Hominidae
Source: RNAcentral